ACAUUGCUGUAGUUAAACAUGCAGACUGUUCCACAUUUUCAGUCCGGAAAUUGUUCCACAAAUUGUUGAAGGAAACAGGUAAAGAACAAUGUAAAAUGUACAGAAAACACGCACAAGACUUAUUUCAUCACAUUCACAUUGGAAUGUGAUAAUAAAACAUGUGUUGAUAAAAGGGAAAUAGUUCUUCCCUUCCAUUUCACACCAUGUGAAAUGAUCACGUGAUAGGCCCCUCAGGUCCAAUUUGAAUAUUUUACGUGUUUGUGGACAAAUCCGUUUGUCUCCAAAUGUGAUGUGAUUAAAAAAAAAAAAAAAAAUGCUGAAAGAGGAAACAGCCAGUCUUCCAUGUCUCUCACAUUAUAGUGUCGCCUGGUAGAGGAUUUUGUUGUCAUGAUUUAUCUCAGGACACUUUAAAAUGAAAUAAAUAAGUCUACACAGAUCGGUGUGGUCUGUAAAACAAAACAUCAGGGAGUAAAAAAUAGAUCUUCUAUUCAGGACGGCACGGUGGUGCAGUGGUUUGCAAUGUCGCCUCACAGCAAGAAGGUUCCGUGUGUGAACCUGUCCGCCAAUCGGGGCCUUCCUGUAUAGGUUUUCUCCAGUCGCAUCCGACCUGAGUGAUCCGAACACAAGUGGACAGCUCUUUGUACGUCUGUUCUCACCUGGCAGCAGAUCGUUUCUCCACAUGCGUCUCCAGUGACCACUUGUGAUCUGAUUUUACCUACCCGCCCCGUAUGUAAAUCAACACGUACACCAUUUCCGUUUGCAAGUUGUUGUUGUUUUUAACAAAAUAAUAAAAUAUGCAAAGUGCAAAA
Molecule: long non-coding RNA, 809 nt
Organism: Scophthalmus maximus (turbot)
Lineage: Eukaryota; Metazoa; Chordata; Actinopteri; Pleuronectiformes; Scophthalmidae
Exons: 2
Source: RefSeq, a predicted model, not a curated record